UACGUAGGGGGCAAGCGUUGUCCGGAUUUAUUGGGCGUAAAGAGCGUGUAGGCGGCCGUACAGGUCAGCUGUGAAAACUCGAGGCUCAACCUCGAGACGUCGGUUGAAACCGUACGGCUAGAGUCCGGAAGAGGAGAGUGGAAUUCCCGGUGUAGCGGUGAAAUGCGUAGAUAUCAGGAAGAACACCCGUGGCUAAGGCGGCUCUCUAGUACGGUACUGACGCUGAGACGCGAAAGCGUGGGGAGCGAACAGG
RNAcentral lists this ribosomal RNA (253 nucleotides) under uncultured bacterium. RNAcentral's name for it is "partial 16S ribosomal RNA". It matches the Rfam family "Bacterial small subunit ribosomal RNA", at positions 524 to 776 of the family's 1533-position model. The record is from RNAcentral.